Molecule: ribosomal RNA, 486 nt
Filed under: uncultured bacterium
Lineage: Bacteria
Description: partial 16S ribosomal RNA
Rfam family: Bacterial small subunit ribosomal RNA
Source: RNAcentral
AUUGAACGCUGGCGGCAUGCCUUACACAUGCAAGUCGAACGGCAGCACGGGUGCUUGCACCUGGUGGCGAGUGGCGAACGGGUGAGUAAUACAUCGGAACAUGUCCUGUAGUGGGGGAUAGCCCGGCGAAAGCCGGAUUAAUACCGCAUACGAUCUACGGAUGAAAGCGGGGGCCCUUCGGGCCUCGCGCUAUAGGGUUGGCCGAUGGCUGAUUAGCUAGUUGGUGGGGUAAAGGCCUACCAAGGCGACGAUCAGUAGCUGGUCUGAGAGGACGAACAGCCACACUGGGACUGAGACACGGCCCAGACUCCUACGGGAGGCAGCAGUGGGGAAUUUUGGACAAUGGGCGAAAGCCUGAUCCAGCAAUGCCGCGUGUGUGAAGAAGGCCUUCGGGUUGUAAAGCACUUUUGUCCGGAAAGAAAUCCUUGGCCCUAAUACGGUCGGGGGAUGACGGUACCGGAAGAAUAAGCACCGGCUAACUACGUG